GCCUGACUGGCUCAGUAGAGCAUGUGACUCUUGAUCUUGAGUUCGUGAGUUUGAACCCCACAUUGGGCA
RNAcentral lists this transfer RNA (69 nucleotides) under Ailuropoda melanoleuca (giant panda). It matches the Rfam family "tRNA". Rfam says of the family: Transfer RNA (tRNA) molecules are approximately 80 nucleotides in length. Their secondary structure includes four short double-helical elements and three loops (D, anti-codon, and T loops). Further hydrogen bonds mediate the characteristic L-shaped molecular structure. tRNAs have two regions of fundamental functional importance: the anti-codon, which is responsible for specific mRNA codon recognition, and the 3' end, to which the tRNAs corresponding amino acid is attached (by aminoacyl-tRNA synthetases). tRNAs cope with the degeneracy of the genetic code in two manners: having more than one tRNA (with a specific anti-codon) for a particular amino acid; and 'wobble' base-pairing, i.e. permitting non-standard base-pairing at the 3rd anti-codon position. Lineage: Eukaryota; Metazoa; Chordata; Mammalia; Carnivora; Ursidae. The record is from Rfam by way of RNAcentral.